UUGACGGGGCCGCGACAAGCGGUGGAGCAUGUGGUUUAAUUCGACGCAACGCGAAGAACUUACCAGGGCUUGACAUCCCCUGACCACGUAUGAAGUACGUUUCACCUCGGGUGACAGGGAGACAGGUGGUGCAUGGUUGUCGUCAGCUCGUGUCGUGAGAUGUUGGGUUAAGUCCCGCAACGAGCGCAACCCCUACGUUUAGUUGCUAACGCGUGAAGGCGAGCACUCUAGACGAACUGCCGUUGACAAAACGGAGGAAGGUGGGAUGACGUCAAAUCAUCAUGCCCCUUAUGUUCUGGGCUACACACGUGCUACAAUGGCCGGUACAGACGGACGCAAAGCCGCGAGGUGGAGCAAAUCCUAAAAAGCCGGUCUCAGUUCGGAUUGCAGGCUGCAAUUCGCCUGCAUGAAGUCGGAAUCGCUAGUAAUCGCAGGUCAGCAUACUGCGGUGAAUACGUUCCCGGGCCUU
This 469-nucleotide ribosomal RNA is filed under the name uncultured Pelotomaculum sp. RNAcentral's name for it is "bacterial SSU rRNA". It matches the Rfam family "Bacterial small subunit ribosomal RNA", at positions 910 to 1382 of the family's 1533-position model. The record is from RNAcentral. Lineage: Bacteria; Bacillati; Bacillota; Clostridia; Eubacteriales; Desulfotomaculaceae.